CCCGCGCGGCGGCGCUCCACUGGGUCCACACAGACACCUGCCGCGCCUGCACUUGAAAGGCCGCCGGGCCCAGUUCCCGACGAGGAAGGGUCCCCGGCGUACCCAGGCCUGGUCGGACGCGGCCUGGCCUAGGAGCAGCUCCCACGCAUUACACCUCGCACCUACCGCCGGCUCCCGCCAAAGCAGCAGUCGCGCGAGAGCUGGCCGGAAAACUAUGCCUGGUGGCCUCAGCGCGCAGGCGUAAAACCGCCCUGUGAACCAAUGGGGACGCGCGCUGGGCCGGAAGUCCCGCCCCUCCCUGUAGCGCCCGCCCUCAACCCAUUGCGGCGCCCUGGCUCUGGGCCUGGUGUGCGGGCAGGGCUUCCCUUGCCAGAGGCCCUGCAAGCCACAUAGGGACCUCUGAAGACAUCUGUGAGACCAACAAGCACCCAGCAGGAGACCAGCGAGCAACGGCAUGCAGUGUGGGAUAAAGGAAGGAGAGGAUGAGGGCGCUUUGUUCCCGCGCUGCCGCUCCCUCCUCCGUGGGCCGCCUGACAUGCCAGAGCAUUCCAGAUUUCGGGACAUUGUGACACCGUGGAAGCAAUGACAGAUGUGAGCCUGCUGGCCCCGGAUGACAGAAGCCAGGGAGCUCUGAGGCUGAGGCCGGAAUGCUGCAGACUGGAACGGCCGUGGUUGUGACAUACCUGGGCAUCAUCUGCCAGAGUUCUGUCCUCUGAGGUGCUGCCGUUUUGGAAGAAAGGUGUUUGGUGGUGGUCGUGAUGGUUUCCUGCAAUCUGGACAUUUAAAAGGAAGCCUUGCUUUACAUCUGUGCCUGAGCUGGGGUGCUGAGGACCGAGUGUGCUCUUCUCAGGCAGUCUGCGGACUGACCAUGACCAUCGUGGCUCUUGGAAUGGCAGAAACACACCUGGGCUCGGCAGUGCCCAACCUGGGCUGGACCUAAGGAGAGAGAGAGCCCUUGUUGACAGAAUUACGAUUCCAAGAGAUUUUGAGAAAAGGCGAUUUAUGACCUAAAAAAGUGUCUUGAGACCUGGUGACCGCAGAGCAGUAGAGUGAGCAGAGCACUGGACUUCUUGGGUUCUCCUCCUAAUGGAACUCUUCUUUACACUGAUUGCAAGCCACAUCCACUUAAGGCAGAAGGGGGUGACCAUCUGGCCGCUUACGUCACAAGUCAAGCAUGGCUUAUUAUGGACAAGGUGUGGACGGGUGUGGUAAUGGUCACCCAACCAUGUGAAUGGACUUAUACUCCUGGACUAUAUCCUAACAGUGGUUAAGAAGGUCAAUUCCAGCGAGUGAGUUCCGCCUCCACACCACCAUCGGCAGCAGAUCACCUCAUACACACACAGCGGCAGAAUCCUCAGGGUUGAGGAGAAGCAGUUUGUGGAUCGGCUGCAUUCAGAAGGCAGAAGAGUGGCCCAAGGAUGUGCCCAUCCUGAUCCCUGAGCCCUGAACACGCAGGUGGGCCCAAAGGUGCUAACCAGACUUUGCUUUGAGAAGAGAGUCCCUGGCCGCUGUGCUUGCGAGGGGCCGCCUAGAAUCUGCUCCCUGGGACUCAGCCUGCCGUGCACAGCUAUCUGUCCUAUCCAUCACCCUAUUUCCUCCCUUUUGGAAUGGGAAUGCUUACCCUUUGCCUUUCUUUUGAAUUAUACAGGGGCUCGCAGCUAAGAGUUUGCCUUAAAUCUCAAACGAGACUUUCGGACUUGGGUUUUUCAGCAGUGCUGAAACUGGUAGGACUUUGGCAACUCCUAGAGAUGGAGUAAAUGCAUUUUGCAUAAAGUGAUGUGCAUGAGUGUGUUGGAGGCAGGGGCAGAAUGCUCUGGUUUACACAGAUGUCCCCGCCAAGCCUCAUGUGUCUGUGGGUGGGGCCUUGGGGAGGUGACUGCAUCAUCAGGCAGUGAUGUUCUUGGAUGGAUUAGUCUACUGAGGACCACAUAGCCGAAUGUGAUGUUGGGAGGUGAAGCCUGGUUGGAGGAGGUGGGUGGCGGGGGGCGUGGCCUGGAAGGGUU
Chinchilla lanigera (long-tailed chinchilla) is the source of this 2003-nucleotide long non-coding RNA. RefSeq lists it as uncharacterized. Lineage: Eukaryota; Metazoa; Chordata; Mammalia; Rodentia; Chinchillidae. The record is from RefSeq and is a predicted model, not a curated record. The transcript is spliced from 5 exons.